AUUUAACCAUGCAAAGUCGAACGGGAUCCAUCAGGCUUUGCUUGGUGGUGAGAGUGGCGAACGGGUGAGUAAUGCGUGACCGACCUGCCCCAUACACCGGAAUAGCUCCUGGAAACGGGUGGUAAUGCCGGAUGCUCCGACUCCUCGCAUGGGGUGUCGGGAAAGAUUUCAUCGGUAUGGGAUGGGGUCGCGUCCUAUCAGGUAGUCGGCGGGGUAACGGCCCACCGAGCCUACGACGGGUAGCCGGCCUGAGAGGGCGACCGGCCACAUUGGGACUGAGAUACGGCCCAGACUCCUACGGGAGGCAGCAGUGGGGAAUAUUGCACAAUGGGCGCAAGCCUGAUGCAGCGACGCCGCGUGCGGGAUGACGGCCUUCGGGUUGUAAACCGCUUUUGAUCGGGAGCAAGCCUUCGGGUGAGUGUACCUUUCGAAUAAGCACCGGCUAACUACGUGCCAGCAGCCGCGGUAAUACGUAGGGUGCAAGCGUUAUCCGGAAUUAUUGGGCGUAAAGGGCUCGUAGGCGGUUCGUCGCGUCCGGUGUGAAAGUCCAUCGCUUAACGGUGGAUCUGCGCCGGGUACGGGCGGGCUGGAGUGCGGUAGGGGAGACUGGAAUUCCCGGUGUAACGGUGGAAUGUGUAGAUAUCGGGAAGAACACCAAUGGCGAAGGCAGGUCUCUGGGCCGUUACUGACGCUGAGGAGCGAAAGCGUGGGGAGCGAACAGGAUUAGAUACCCUGGUAGUCCACGCCGUAAACGGUGGAUGCUGGAUGUGGGGCCCGUUCCACGGGUUCCGUGUCGGAGCUAACGCGUUAAGCAUCCCGCCUGGGGAGUACGGCCGCAAGGCUAAAACUCAAAGAAAUUGACGGGGGCCCGCACAAGCGGCGGAGCAUGCGGAUUAAUUCGAUGCAACGCGAAGAACCUUACCUGGGCUUGACAUGUUCCCGACAGCCGUAGAGAUAUGGCCUCCCUUCGGGGCGGGUUCACAGGUGGUGCAUGGUCGUCGUCAGCUCGUGUCGUGAGAUGUUGGGUUAAGUCCCGCAACGAGCGCAACCCUCGCCCUGUGUUGCCAGCACGUCAUGGUGGGAACUCACGGGGGACCGCCGGGGUCAACUCGGAGGAAGGUGGGGAUGACGUCAGAUCAUCAUGCCCCUUACGUCCAGGGCUUCACGCAUGCUACAAUGGCCGGUACAACGGGAUGCGACACGGCGACGUGGAGCGGAUCCCUGAAAACCGGUCUCAGUUCGGAUUGGAGUCUGCAACCCGACUCCAUGAAGGCGGAGUCGCUAGUAAUCGCGGAUCAGCAACGCCGCGGUGAAUGCGUUCCCGGGCCUUGUACACACCGCCCGUCAAGUCAUGAAAGUGGGUAGCACCCGAAGCCGGUGGCCUAACCCUUUGUGGAUGGAGCCGGUCUAAAGGGGAGACUAGGU
RNAcentral lists this ribosomal RNA (1425 nucleotides) under Bifidobacterium pseudocatenulatum. Its description in RNAcentral is "bacterial SSU rRNA". It matches the Rfam family "Bacterial small subunit ribosomal RNA". Lineage: Bacteria; Bacillati; Actinomycetota; Actinomycetes; Bifidobacteriales; Bifidobacteriaceae. The record is from RNAcentral.